ACCUGUUAUCAGCUACCUGAGUGCCUGCCCCAUCCCGAUGAGCUACCUGCUUUAUCUAAGUCUUUCUGAGAAUCAGUGUAGGGUAUUGGCACAGGGGCUGUAAGGGGAAUGAUCGGAAAGAGCUUUGCCAUAGAAGAGAGCAACUGGGAGUGCUGAGAUUAGACUUCACUUUUGAGGGUGAGAAGGUGUGACUGCGACUGAACUGGACUCCAAGAGGCUCUGAGAAGGACUUUUGGGUGUUGGAGUUGAAGAUAUGGAGGUGGAACUAUAUCAACACAAAGGCAGCAACUCAGAGAUUUGUAACUACACACCCUUGGGGUGAAUGGAUGCGUCCAUGUGAGACUGCAUAGUGAAUAGGAGGAGGACAGGGAGAAGCCAGGCGUGGUGGCUCUUACCUGUAGCCUCAUCAGACUUGGGAGGUGGAGGCAGGAGGAUCACAGCUUCAAGGCCAGUCUUGGCUGUAUAGCUGGGCCACAAACGCACAAGCAAACCAACCAAUAAAAU
This is a non-coding RNA of Peromyscus maniculatus bairdii (prairie deer mouse), 504 nucleotides long. Lineage: Eukaryota; Metazoa; Chordata; Mammalia; Rodentia; Cricetidae. The record is from RefSeq and is a predicted model, not a curated record.